AGAUAAGGACAGUUUAAUGCAUGUGGCAUGUGUGCAUGUUCAGGGUUUCCUGUAGUAGUGAGAUAUGAAACUAGCUCUGCUCUAGUUCAGCUGAGCAGAUAAGACUGGACUUUUCAGCCUACUGUAAGCGGCAAUAACAUUCAGUGGGCCUACAGAUAUUUUUAAAUCUUAGAAGUUGUACAUAACAAGACUAAUAUUAAAUACAAAUAUAUGAACAAUUAUUUUAACACAAGAAGGGAAAUAAAAUGGAGCUCUGUUUUGCUUAAAUCAAACUACUGAGAACUAUGUGCUAUGAAACAAUGUUUUGACCUCACGAUAGGAGACAAAGUCUUGAAAACUAAUAGAUUAUUUAUUCAUUGAAGAAUUUAACUCACACUUUGAAAAAUAAUCCCUUACCUAAAUAUAUAUGGUAUUUUUAACUUAACUAAUAUAUGGUAUUUUUAACUUGAGUUUCGAGACGCCUUUUCAUUGCUCAUUUCAUGAUUGUUACCUAAUGUCUUAAUCAGUAACUCAACUUCAAAGCAGAACAUUUUACAUCUAAAACAAAGUACAGUAACAGCUUUGUUCUAGAAAUUUCUUUUGGUAACUCUUGUUCAUUCUAGAGUUGCCUGUGAACUUGGUUAUUUGUGUAAUGGUAACUAGACAAAAUACUGAAACAUGUUUGCCUACAAUACAAAUACUCUUAAUCUGAAAACACAUAACAACAAAAAUAUUUAAAUUAGAUUCAUUGAUGCAGAGUGAGUUAUAAAAGUGUAGCUAAAAAUAAACUCUGUUUUGUCUUGCAGGGAUAGGAGGAGAAGAAGAGAGGUGUGUGUGUUCAGUCAAAAAGUAGUCUCCUUAUAUCUAAAUAUUUAUGGAAGAAAAUAAGCAAAAUGUUGACAAACCAUAACAGCAGUAAUUUUUCUCCAGAAGAUUUGACUGUUAGAGGAUUGUAUGAAUAGUAAAAGCUGCUUUUCAAUGUAUACAAUGACAGAUUUUCAUCACCCAGUCUCAGAAAGGGAUUCAGUGACUGCUAACUGAGCAGAUGGAGCAGUACCAACACAUGUGAGAAGAAAACAUUCAUCAU
RNAcentral lists this long non-coding RNA (1066 nucleotides) under Cairina moschata (Muscovy duck). Its description in RNAcentral is "domestica (muscovy Duck (domestic type)) lncRNA (ENSCMMG00000010269.1)". The record is from RNAcentral. Lineage: Eukaryota; Metazoa; Chordata; Aves; Anseriformes; Anatidae.